This 253-nucleotide ribosomal RNA is filed under the name uncultured bacterium. RNAcentral describes it as "partial 16S ribosomal RNA". It matches the Rfam family "Bacterial small subunit ribosomal RNA", at positions 524 to 776 of the family's 1533-position model. The record is from RNAcentral.
UACAGAGGUCUCGAGCGUUGUUCGGAUUCAUUGGGCGUAAAGGGUGCGUAGGUGGCGUGGUAAGUCUGGUGUGAAAUCCCGGGGCUCAACCCCGGAACUGCACUGGAUACUGCCAUGCUUGAGUACUGGAGAGGAGAUUGGAAUUUACGGUGUAGCAGUGAAAUGCGUAGAUAUCGUAAGGAAGACCAGUGGCGAAGGCGAGUUUCUGGACGGUAACUGACGCUGAGGCACGAAGGCCAGGGGAGCAAACGGG